CGCGUGGGUGGCCAAUUAAGUCGGAUGUGAAAUCCCUGAGCUUAACUUAGGAAUUGCAUUCGAUACUGGGAAGCUAGAGUAUGGGAGAGGAUGGUAGAAUUCCAGGUGUAGCGGUGAAAUGCGUAGAGAUCUGGAGGAAUACCGAUGGCGAAGGCAGCCAUCUGGCCUAAUACUGACGCUGAGGUACGAAAGCAUGGGGAGCAAACAGGAUUCGAUACCCUAGUA
RNAcentral lists this ribosomal RNA (225 nucleotides) under uncultured Acinetobacter sp. Its description in RNAcentral is "partial 16S ribosomal RNA". It matches the Rfam family "Bacterial small subunit ribosomal RNA", at positions 568 to 792 of the family's 1533-position model. The record is from RNAcentral. Lineage: Bacteria; Pseudomonadati; Pseudomonadota; Gammaproteobacteria; Moraxellales; Moraxellaceae.